AACAUCCAGGAGCACAGACAGAGGGAAGAGAAGAGAGACAGAAUGAAGAGAGGAGCACGCCCAAGUGCAGAGACACAAAGAGAGAGACCCAGAUGUGGCAACUCGGCUGCCAGUCCACCAGAGGUUAGUGCUUGCCCAUCAGAGGUGUAGGCUGUUGGGUGAGGCCACUGCUAAGCCAAGGACAUCAUUUCCUAGAUCCAGACCCCUUCACAUCCAGAGAUGACCAUGUGACUACUUGUCACCAAGGGACUGUGGGCAGAAGUGAUGUGCGUGACUUCCGGCUGGUGCUGUUAAGAAGCAGAUAGGGGUUCUCUGCUCUCUCUUUGCAGAGGAUUUUGCGUCCCUCGAGGGUGGCCGAGACAAACAUGGAAGGAGCCCGGGCACCUAAUCUACAUGAGGAUGAGUAAUGCCCCACACUGAAAUACCCGAGUGAGAAACAGGUUUGCAUUGUGUUACUAUAAACAGGAGCUGCUGGGUUAUUUGUUACAGCUGCUAGCAGUACCCCAGGGUGAGACACCAUCAGUGAAGAACCUGGUAUCUCUGGCAAGCAGGGCAGACCCCGAUAUCCCUAGCACAGGCCAGCAGGGCACUUAUUACACAUGUGCUCAGAGAGAGGGACAUGACCCAGGGGAGCGGUGUGGGGAUAGGGCUGAUAGAGCAGGUCAAGAAUCCAAGCAACUGGCCUUUUGCAAGAAGUCAGCAAAUCGCUAUGGCCGCCAACUAUAGCAAGGGGCUGGGGCCCCACGCCUAUUCCUCCAGUCACAACCUGCAUGUCACACUGUUUGACCAGGCAGGACCUGAGGUCAGGCCAGCUUGUAAGGCAGGUGAAGGCCUCCCUCUGUGCUGACCAUGACUGCUUCUCCCCAAGUCAUCCCCAGGCCUCUCCUUGGCAGGACAGGCAGGGCUAUGUUCCCUCCCACCUCGCAGCUGGUUUUCCUCCAUCUUGGAGCUUUCCUGACCCACUCCACACAGUGAGUUCAAGCUGUCCUUGGGAUGACCCCUAGUCCCGGCUACGACCAAUAUGAACUCACAGUUGAGAGACAAAACCAAGAAGCGCUGGCCUUUCUGACCACUUGUUUGUGUCGAGAUGGAGUGUCUGACCCACAAACCGGCCCCCUGGUGCGUCUGGCAGGCAGGCCCCUGCUGGCCCGGCCACACCUGGGAGCAGGGAAGUGCUCACUGCGGUGAGUCACUGUUUCCACCUUCAACGCGCAUCCAGACAGCAGCACCGCACCCUCGCCUUUGGUCUGAAAUCACAGCCCGACUGGUGAGCUGGCACCACCUCGCAUGCUCAGUGGGUCAAUGCUAAGUGCUGGCUGCCCACAAAGCCAGCGUCUUAGAAUAGACUCAGCCUAAACAGGCGCUCACUUCCCACAGAGUUCCCAGCAGGAGGUGGCAGGACAGCUAGGUCUGCUGUGGGUCUUGGCUCCCCAUUCACACUAAAGGCUGAAUGCUCUGUGGCCAGUUCUCAAUUUGGACCAUGCUUUCCUGUCACAGCAGCCCAGACUACCCUCUGUCACCCAGCCCAGGAUGAGUGUAUCUGUUACCCCCAGGUUGACACUGCAAAAUCUGAAAAUGGCUCACUAUGCAGAGACAGUGCAGGGCAGGAGUGGAGUCCGAUCUCCAGAACCAGGCU
Molecule: long non-coding RNA, 1636 nt
Filed under: Homo sapiens (human)
Lineage: Eukaryota; Metazoa; Chordata; Mammalia; Primates; Hominidae
Description: HSALNT0360071
Source: RNAcentral